GACGAACGCUGGCGGCGUGCUUAACACAUGCAAGUCGAACGGAAAGGCCCUGCUUUUGUGGGGUGCUCGAGUGGCGAACGGGUGAGUAACACGUGAGUAACCUGCCCUUGACUUUGUGAUAACUUCAGGAAACUGGGGCUAAUACCGGAUAGGAGCUCCUGCUGCAUGGUGGUGGUUGGAAAGUUUCGGCGGUUGGGGAUGGACUCGCGGCUUAUCAGCUUGUUGGUGGGGUAGUGGCUUACCAAGGAUUUGACGGGUAGCCGGCCUGAGAGGGUGACCGCCCACAUUGGGACUGAGAUACGGCCCAGACUCAUACGGGAGGCAGCAGUGGGGAAUAUUGCACAAUGGGCGGAAGCCUGAUGCAGCAACGCCGCGUGCGGGAUGACGGCCUUCGGGUUGUAAAACGCUUUCGCCUGUGACGAAGCGUGAGUGACGGUAAUGGGUAAAGAAGCACCGGCGAACUACGU
RNAcentral lists this ribosomal RNA (467 nucleotides) under uncultured bacterium. Its description in RNAcentral is "partial 16S ribosomal RNA". It matches the Rfam family "Bacterial small subunit ribosomal RNA", at positions 28 to 506 of the family's 1533-position model. The record is from RNAcentral.